This 253-nucleotide ribosomal RNA is filed under the name uncultured bacterium. Its description in RNAcentral is "partial 16S ribosomal RNA". It matches the Rfam family "Bacterial small subunit ribosomal RNA", at positions 524 to 776 of the family's 1533-position model. The record is from RNAcentral.
UACGAAGGGGGCAAGCGUUGUUCGGAAUUACUGGGCGUAAAGGGCGCGUAGGCGGCUUAUCAAGUCAGGCGUGAAAUUCCCGGGCUCAACCUGGGGGCUGCGCUUGAUACUGAUGAGCUUGAAUGCGGGAGAGGAUAGUGGAAUUCCCAGUGUAGAGGUGAAAUUCGUAGAUAUUGGGAAGAACACCGGUGGCGAAGGCGGCUAUCUGGCCCGUAAUUGACGCUGAGGCGCGAAAGCGUGGGGAGCGAACAGG